GAUGAAGAACGCAGCGAAAUGCGAUACGUAAUGUGAAUUGCAGAAUUCAGUGAAUCAUCGAAUCUUUGAACGCAUAUUGCGCUCUCUGGUAUUCCGGAGAGCAUGCUUGUUUGAGUAUCAGUAAACACCUCAACUCUUUUUUCUUUUUUGAAAUUGGAGCUGGACUUGAGUGAUCCCAACGCUUUCUUCCAAGAAAGUGGCGGGUUGCUUGAAAUGCAGGUGCAGCUGAACUUUUCUCUGAGCUAUAAGCAUAUCUAUUUAGUCUGCCUAAAAAACAGAUUAUUACCUUUGCUGCAGCUAACAUAAAGGAGACUAGUUCUUGUGCUGACUGAUGCAGGAUUCACAGAGACAGCUUCGGCUGACUUUGUAAACUCGAUCUCAAAUCAAGUAAGACUACCCGCUGAACUUAAGCAUAUCAUAAGCGGAGGA
This 429-nucleotide unclassified non-coding RNA is filed under the name soil metagenome. Its description in RNAcentral is "partial contains 5.8S ribosomal RNA, internal transcribed spacer 2, and large subunit ribosomal RNA". The stretch from base 1 to 120 matches the Rfam family "5.8S ribosomal RNA", at positions 35 to 154 of the family's 154-position model. The record is from RNAcentral.